RNAcentral lists this ribosomal RNA (207 nucleotides) under uncultured bacterium. RNAcentral's name for it is "partial 16S ribosomal RNA". It matches the Rfam family "Bacterial small subunit ribosomal RNA", at positions 568 to 774 of the family's 1533-position model. The record is from RNAcentral.
CACGUAGGCGGACUCUUAAGUCGGUGGUGAAAUCCUGGAGCUCAACUCCAGAACUGCCUUCGAUACUGAGAGUCUCGAGUCCGGGAGAGGUGAGUGGAACUGCGAGUGUAGAGGUGAAAUUCGUAGAUAUUCGCAAGAACACCAGUGGCGAAGGCGGCUCACUGGCCCGGAACUGACGCUGAGGUGCGAAAGCGUGGGGAGCAAACA